CGCCCUUAGAGUUUGAUCAUGGCUCAGAUUGAACGCUGGCGGCAGGCUUAACACAUGCAAGUCGAGCGGUAGGGGAGCUUGCUCCCUACGAGCGGCGGACGGGUGAGUAAUGUCUGGGAAACUGCCUGAUGGAGGGGGAUAACUACUGGAAACGGUAGCUAAUACCGCAUAACGUCGCAAGACCAAAGAGGUUCGUCUUGCCAUCAGAUGUGCCCAGAUGGGAUUAGCUAGUAGGUGGGGUAAUGGCUCACCUAGGCGACGAUCCCUAGCUGGUCUGAGAGGAUGACCAGCCACACUGGAACUGAGACACGGUCCAGACUCCUACGGGAGGGC
This 333-nucleotide ribosomal RNA is filed under the name uncultured Serratia sp. RNAcentral's name for it is "bacterial SSU rRNA". It matches the Rfam family "Bacterial small subunit ribosomal RNA", at positions 1 to 350 of the family's 1533-position model. The record is from RNAcentral. Lineage: Bacteria; Pseudomonadati; Pseudomonadota; Gammaproteobacteria; Enterobacterales; Yersiniaceae.